Nicotiana attenuata is the source of this 85-nucleotide non-coding RNA. The record is from Rfam. Lineage: Eukaryota; Viridiplantae; Streptophyta; Magnoliopsida; Solanales; Solanaceae.
UAAGGCCAAUGAUGGAGUAUGAUAAUAUAUGCCUACAUUGUCUGAUCAUUAUAAUUUGAUUGACCAAAUAUGGACUGAGGCCUUU